GAGGGGGCAAGCGUUGUUCGGAAUUACUGGGCGUAAAGGGCGCGUAGGCGGCCUGCUAAGUCGAACGUGAAAUCCCUGGGCUCAACCCAGGAACUGCGUCCGAUACUGGUUGGCUUGAAUCCGGGAGAGGGAUGUGGAAUUCCAGGUGUAGCGGUGAAAUGCGUAGAUAUCUGGAGGAACACCGGUGGCGAAGGCGACAUCCUGGACCGGUAUUGACGCUGAGGCGCGAAAGCCAGGGGAGCAAACGGGAUUAGAUACCCCGGUAGUCCUGGCCCUAAACGAUGAAUGCUUGGUGUGGUGGGUAUCGAUCCCUACCGUGCCGAAGCUAACGCAUUAAGCAUUCCGCCUGGGGAGUACGGUCGCAAGGCUG
This 370-nucleotide ribosomal RNA is filed under the name uncultured organism. RNAcentral's name for it is "bacterial SSU rRNA". It matches the Rfam family "Bacterial small subunit ribosomal RNA", at positions 528 to 896 of the family's 1533-position model. The record is from RNAcentral.